Molecule: ribosomal RNA, 496 nt
Filed under: uncultured bacterium
Lineage: Bacteria
Description: partial 16S ribosomal RNA
Rfam family: Bacterial small subunit ribosomal RNA
Source: RNAcentral
GAUGAACGCUGGCGGCGUGCCUAAUACAUGCGAGUCGAGCGAACGGACGAGAAGCUUGCUUCUCUGAUGUUAGCGGCGGACGGGUGAGUAACACGUGGAUAACCUACCUAUAAGACUGGGAUAACUUCGGGAAACCGGAGCUAAUACCGGAUAAUAUUUUGAACCGCAUGGUUCAAAAGUGAAAGACGGUCUUGCUGUCACUUAUAGAUGGAUCCGCGCUGCAUUAGCUAGUUGGUAAGGUAACGGCUUACCAAGGCAACGAUGCAUAGCCGACCUGAGAGGGUGAUCGGCCACACUGGAACUGAGACACGGUCCAGACUCCUACGGGAGGCAGCAGUAGGGAAUCUUCCGCAAUGGGCGAAAGCCUGACGGAGCAACGCCGCGUGAGUGAUGAAGGUCUUCGGAUCGUAAAACUCUGUUAUUAGGGAAGAACAUAUGUGUAAGUAACUGUACACAUCUUGACGGUACCUAAUCAGAAAGCCACGGCUAACUACGU